AGGAUAAUAGUUAAUUAUAACAUUAAAUUUGCAAUUUAAAAGUAUUGAAGUCAAUUUAUCUUA
RNAcentral lists this transfer RNA (63 nucleotides) under Ptiliidae sp. BMNH 1274723. Its description in RNAcentral is "tRNA-Ala". It matches the Rfam family "tRNA". Rfam says of the family: Transfer RNA (tRNA) molecules are approximately 80 nucleotides in length. Their secondary structure includes four short double-helical elements and three loops (D, anti-codon, and T loops). Further hydrogen bonds mediate the characteristic L-shaped molecular structure. tRNAs have two regions of fundamental functional importance: the anti-codon, which is responsible for specific mRNA codon recognition, and the 3' end, to which the tRNAs corresponding amino acid is attached (by aminoacyl-tRNA synthetases). tRNAs cope with the degeneracy of the genetic code in two manners: having more than one tRNA (with a specific anti-codon) for a particular amino acid; and 'wobble' base-pairing, i.e. permitting non-standard base-pairing at the 3rd anti-codon position. Lineage: Eukaryota; Metazoa; Arthropoda; Insecta; Coleoptera; Ptiliidae. The record is from RNAcentral.